This 11390-nucleotide long non-coding RNA is filed under the name Populus trichocarpa (black cottonwood). Its description in RNAcentral is "long non-coding RNA (PTRI_LNC002425)". Lineage: Eukaryota; Viridiplantae; Streptophyta; Magnoliopsida; Malpighiales; Salicaceae. The record is from RNAcentral.
CAUAUCACAUGUGGUUUUGAUGUUGGGUAAUGAAGAUGAAUUGCCUCAGCCUAAACAACCAGGAUUUUUCACUGAAAGGGAUCUUGAUGAAGCAAGCUAUUCAUCGAGCCAGAACAAACCACCUUCGGCAAACGGAUGCUCGAUUUCAAUGUUAGAGGCAAGAUAGAUUGCUUUUAUUUCAUUUCAAGUGAUUAAAGGCGAAUUAAUAUUCGAUAGAUGUUCUAGUUGCAGAACAGCAAUUACGAACAAAAGCAAGUCAAAUAAAUGCUUCUAAAGCUUACUGUCUCUAUGAACGUGAAGAAAUUGAAGACAAGUAUCUUCAUGUAAUCCAAGAGUUGCAGCUACAUUUAUGAAUCAUGGAGAGGGGACUCCAGAUAUUUCUCUUACUUGAUGUUCAUGUAUCAUCAAGACUUGCCAGCUAGUAUUUCAUCUUAUAGAUUUGAACAUUUCAUUAGAACAUUUGUAUAUAAGUUUGUUUUUGAAACAUAAAUUACCAUCAAGUUUGUGAUAAUAUUUUAAGAUUAAUAAGUUCUCUUUUAUAAUUUAGAUCCAAGAAAGUUCAUAUUAAUUUUACUAUCUAUGUAAGUUCAUUUUACGACUAUAAAGGUAGAAAAUAUAAUUCUUCAUGUCUGAAAAAUAUUUUUUAAAAAGAAUAAAUUUUUUUAAUUAUUAUUUGUAUAAGGGGGUGCUCUGAAUUAUAGAAAUUAACAAUGAUAAAAUUAUAUGAUAAAAUGUUUUUUAUUUUUUUUCUAAGAUAAAAAAGAUAAGUAAUAAAUUUAAAAAUGCAUUGUUAGGAUUUUAUAGGAAAAUACAAUAAACAUAAAAUUAGUUGGAAGGAAAACUUGAAAUCUAAAUUUAUAAGUUUAACAAAAAUUUAUAAGUUUACUCCAUCUAUCCCUUCUAUAUAUUAAAAAAACAUAUCACUAUUUUUUAUUCCCACUUUUCCAAAACACCUCUUUAAUUAGGAAUAUUAUAGUUUAAAAGGUUUUUUUUUUAGGAAUAUCCAUAGUACGAAACUCUUGAGUAGAGGUAUAAUAGUUGUCUCGAAAAAUUCUCGCAAAACAAAAUGAUUGAUUGCUCGAUCAACCACUCCGAGAAAGAAUUAAUCUCUCCAGUUAGAGUGAUCAUGACAAGUAAAAGUUCAUUAAUAUGAUCAUGAGUUGAGCAAGAAAUUUAUUAAUAAGACUAUGAUUUUGUCGCUCGAGGAAUCGUUUUUGAGUUAGACUCUAUUUAUUUAUUAAUAAAAACAUUAGUAUCUUUGAAAUAGCAAGUCAUGUUGAAUGAUUACUAAGUUGAGGUGACCAGCACCGAGAAAAAAAAUGUGGUGUGGCUCCCAUAUGAACUAGAUCGUGGAUAAGUCUCUUUUUUUUUUUUUUUUUUUUUGUCAAAAUUAGUACACUUCAUUCAUACAAAAUACAUCAUCAAAAUAUAACUACAUAAUUCUUUGCAAAAAUAAGUUCCGUGUAAUGGGGUUUAUAGGUACCUCAUUGUUGAAACGUCCCUGUUGUAGUACAAGUAUUUACAAGAAUUAUAAACAAUUACUAAUAACAGUUAAAUAAUUUAACGAAAACAUUAAUGUUAUUCUUUAUUAAGGCAUAACAAGCGUAGUUCUUGCAUAUACUUGAUAUAUACAAAACAUAGUACACAUGAACACAUCAAUUCUUGAAACUAACUAGUAACUCCCAGAUCUGGCUAUCCUCUUAGGAUGUCAUUAGCUGAAGCUAAUUAUUUACUCAUCUCAGUCAUCCACUUAGGAUGUCGUUAGCCGAAACUAAUCAUUUAAUCAUCUCAGUCAUCCAUGUAGAACGCCAUUAGCCAAAGCUAUUCAUUUAAUCAUCAACAAAUACUCUCUUGAUGGUUUGGUAUUUAUACUAUCGCGAUAUUAUGACAUUUAUAAUAAAACAUUUGAUAAAUUAACAUUAUCAAAGAGGAAGGUAAAAAUCCACCUACAUGUUCCACCUGUGAGGUGUCCUUGUCCUUGUCGCACCCGACAUCGCGGCGAUCCUAAAAAUAAUUCUUUGAUUAGGGAAAAAGAACAGAUUUAUGGCAUCUUGUUCUUUUAGGAAAAUGGUCUUGUUUAAGGAGUCGCCACCUAAUAUUAUGGUCACUAGGAACCCUAACUGGUCAACAGAGAUUCUAUGGUACGGGAUUGGUUACGUAAAAGAGAAGAUAUUAUCACCCCUUAAACGUUCUGCCUGAGGCAGACUGCAUUGCUGAUUUUGUCUUAAAUUGCUAAAUAUUUAUUGGUUUAUGCUCUGAUGGUUUACUUGCAAUAUUCCUGACUCUGGCGUCAGUGAAUAUUCAACUACGAAUAAUUCCAACUCUGGCGUUGGUAAAUAUUACGUAGCUAUAAAAUAAAUGUGGAUCAAUAUUUUUAUUCCUGACUCUGGCGUCAGUGAAUAAACAAAUAAAAUAAAUUUAUUUUUACACAUGCACAUAUUUUUUAUUUUUCUAGCUAAAUAAAAUAAAAUAUAAUGAAUAAAAAUAAUAUAAAUUUAAACCGGUAUUUUUAUUCCUGACUCUGGCGUCAGUGAAUAAACCAAUAAAUUUAUAUUAUUUUUAUUUAUGCAUACACAUUUUUUUAUUUAUUUUUUAUUUUUUCUAUUUUUUCUAUUUUUUAUUAUUUAUGUUUUUGGGGGCUGGGCCUAGCUCAGCCCAUGUGGGGGCUGGGCUGGACCCAGCCAGCCCGGCCUGGCCACUGGCCCAAGCCAGUGGCCCAGCUGGGCAAAAGAAGAAGAAGCACGCGUGAAGUAAAUUCACGCGUGCAUGAAUAGUGUGAAGGUAAUUAAAUUACCUUCACACUGCAUUUGAAAGUUUUAUUGAAUGCAGAGAAUGGAAACUUACCUGUGCAGCGGAGGACGGCGACGAAAACGAUGGCGCGGUGGCUGUUUUCUUUUGUUUCCCGGUGUGGCUCCACUGCCUUUUGGGUUGUUCUUUUUCUCUGCGUAUUAAGCCCCGUUGUUCCCCUGUUUUCUGGGUUUUUCUAUGGAUUCUGCUCCAGUUCUCUCCUCUGGUUUCCGGUCCCAAAAAUCCCCUGUCUUCGUCUGUGUCCUGGCUUCCUCCUCUGCCGGUUCACUCCCCAGCUUUUCCUUCCUCAGUUUUUCUUCGUUUGGUUCGUGCUCUCUGUUUGGGUUCUGUUUUUUUUUUUUUUUUUGCGGUCCUCUGUUUUUCUUUCCUGCCGUCCGUGGCUUUUUUCUUCCCCCGGUUUUUUUCUUCCUCUCCUGUUCGUUCGUCUCCUCUGUUUCUUUUUGAAGAAACCAGAGGCUACCUCACGUCCACUCCUUUUCUUUUUCCUUUUGUCCCACUCCCCUGUUCUGGGUCUCCUUUUCUCUUAGUUUUUCCCCAGUUUUUCUUCAGUUUUUCUUCCCCUGUUUCUGUUUCGUUUUCUUCGUAGUUUUUUUUGUUUCCCCCCCCCCCCCUUCCUCGAGGUUGCCUUUUGCCCAGAUUUUAUAAGGCCAGAGGUCGAUCGGCGUUGUAACGGUCGGCAGUAAUGGCGUGGGGCGCUGCAUUCAAUGGACAAACGUCUCUGCCUUUAAUGGCGGAGCCGUUGCAGAGGAAGAAGACGAGCGAACAGUCGCCUCCCAAAACGACUCCGUUUCCCAUCCCAAAGGCUUCUUUCAAUUUGGUCCUCGAACGUUUGUGCUUUUGCAAUCAGGCCCCUGGUUAAAAUGUAAUUGGAUCCUUGCAUUUCCGCGCCAUUUUCAAGCUGGUCCUUGGAUUUAAUUUUUUCAAUUUGGACCCCAAUUAAACCCCAAACUUUGAUAUUUUUUCAAUUAAGUCCAUGAUUUCAUUAAUUAAAUUAAUUCCAAGCCAAUUAAGUCCAAAAACUUAUCAAUUCUCCAAUUAAACCCUUGAUUGGAUUAAUUAAAUUAACUUCAAACUCAAUUAAGUUUCAAAACUUAUCAAUUCUUCAAUUAAAACCUUGAUUGGAUUAAUUAAAUUAAUUUCAAGCUCAAUUAAAUCUCAAAACUUAUCAAUUCUCCAAUUAAAACCCUUAACUUGGUUAAUUAAACAAGUCAAAAAUUUAAUUAAAUCUUUAAACUUCCAAUCAUGUUACCCUUAACCCAAACUUUAACUCAUUCUUCAUUUAUUUUAUUUUUACUUGUUUUUCAUCAUUUUUUCAGUUAAAAAAAAAGGAUAAAAAAUUGGGUUAUGACAGUCCUGACGAAGGUCCGAUCCCAAUCACACAACCUAAAACAUUGAUGGCCACAAAUUAGUACAUUCGUAUUCAGUAAUUGCACAACUCUUCACCAUGCAUGUCUCAAGCAUACACAAGUUCAUAUUCAAGUGUUCCAUAUAUUACAACCACAUAAUACAAUCAUUUUAGUCAUUGGAUCCAUUCAAAUACGUAAAUCUGCUGUAAAAAUUAGUUAGCAAAAGCUAGUUUGCUAGUGACGCAAAUUCGUUAGUGGACUGCUUUGCUGGAACACAGAAUCGUCAGCGAAUUGAUUCACUAACAAUACAGAAAUUUAACAGCGAAAUCUGAUUCGUUGCAGACACCACAAUUCGGCAGCGAAGCAAAAACUAAUUCGUCGUGGACAACACAAUUCAGUAGUGAAAAUCUGAUUCGCUGUGGACAACACAAUUCAACAGCGAAACUGAUUCGCUGUUGACACCACAAUUCAAUAGUGAAGACUGAUUCGAUGCAGACUACACAAAUUGGAAGGAAACAUCCACAUAUGUUUUGCUUUCAGUGAAAAUGUGAAUCGCUGUGGACAACACAAUUCAGCAGCGAAAACUGAUUCGCUGCUGACACCACAAUUCAGCAGAGAAGACUAAUUCGCUACAGACAACACAAUUCGACAGCAAAAACCUGAUUCACUACGGACAACACAAUUCGACAGCAAAACUAAUUCGCUACUGACAUCACAAUUCGAUAAUGAAAAUUGAUUCGCUACAGACAACACAAUUUGGUAGCAAAAACCUGAUUCGCUGCAGGCAACACAAUUCAACAGCGAAACUGUUUCGCUACAGACAACACAAUUUGGCAACAAAAACUGUUUCGCUGCAGACAACACAAUUCGGCAGCGAACGCUAAUUUACUGCAGACACUAUAAUUCAGCAGCGAACAUUGAUUCGUUGCAUGCAACACAAUUCGAGAACGAAUGCUAAUUCGCUGCAAACACCAUAAUUCAGCAGUGAACACCUAAUUCACUAUAGACAACACAAUUCUGCAGCGGAUGCUAAUUCGUUGCAGACAACACAAUUUGACAGCGAACGCUAAUUCAUUGCAGACAACACAAUUCAGCAACAAACACCUCUUUUGCUGCAGAUAACAUAAUUCAGUAGAGAACACUGAUUUGUUGCAGACAACACAAAUUGGUAAGAAACAUCCACAUGCAUUUCGGUUCUAGCACAUAGUUUGUUACUAAAAUCAAGCAGAAUCAUAUGAUUUCAAGCAUGAACAAUUACAUGCAAUUCAGUUCCAGCGCAUAGUUUGUUAUUAAAAUCAAGCAGAAUCAUAUAAUUUCAAGCAUGAAAAACUACAUCCAAUUCAGUUCCAGCGCAUAGUUUGUUAUUAAAAUUCAGCAUAAUCACAUAAUUUCAAGCAUGAACAAAUAUAUGCAAUUCAGUUCUAGCACACAGUUUGUUAGUACAAUCCAGCAGAACCAUAUAAUUUCAAGCAUGGACAUCUACCUAUAUGUUAUCACACAAUACAUUCUGGCCAACCCUUCAGCUAUGGCCAACCCUCUUCUAUAGUUUGUUCAUUCCAUUUAUUUAUUUGUCUUUGUUAAGUGUUCUGGAAUUUGGUCUCAUUUCAUCUCUAUUUUCAUGUUCUCCUAGUUGAUUUCGGUUUCCUUUAUAGCUGCCUAGAAGUCCUAGGUCAAUUUUCUUAAGGUCUUCUUCUUCAUUUCGGUUCUAGGGUCUAAAGAACAAGAGGAAAGAAGUUAUAUGACCCAUACCUUUUGAAUCUAAUUAGGUUUGGGGAAAGUUUGACAGUAUUCCUUCUCUUCUUCUCCCAGUUCUCCCCUCUUCUUCUUCCUCUCUCGGUUUCUAGCCCUUUUCUCCUUCCCUCUAGGCAGUUGUUCAAUCUUCUUUGAAGUUCUCAACUCUUUCUCUCUCACAUGUUCAAAGAGGCACUUAGUGCUGGCUUGGUUUAAUUUUUGUUGGAAAGGAGGAAGAGAAGAGAAGCAUGCAGCUGAACAUGCAGCUGCUGCAAACAUAUUUUGAGAAAAGGAAGGGUCACCUUCUCUCUUCUCCUUAUAUUUGUAUCCUCUUUUAAAGAGCUAGGGUGUUUGGGUGCUGGUUUAAGUUUAUUCUUUUCCUCUCUUUGGUUAUUCCAAGACCGGUUUCUCCCCCCUCCUAACUCUUUAAGGUAGACCGGUUUGCUCCUCUAACUAUCACUUAACAUUAGCCGACCUUUUACUUAGAUUUCUGUUGGGUAUUAUAGCCACGAAUGACACAUAAAUUCAUCAGUGCACACAACCACUGUUGACUAAAGAAUUGUCACCAAAAACUGAGUCGUUACCGAUUUAGAAAUCAACAGCGAAAACUAUAUCGCUGUCAUUUUAGAAAUCAACAACGACAGUGGGGUUGAUUUUGGCAUUCAUUUUUGUUGGAUGUUUACAUUCUCGCCUCUUAACAUGAAUUUCAUCCUCGAAAUUUAAGCGGUUUCAUAAUUCAUACCUGGUAGUUCAAAUAGAUUGAGGUACUUUUUCCUCAUUUCGUACUCCUUUUUCCUCCUUUAUUUAAGCAUUUUGCCAUAAGAUUCUGACGAUGAGGAUCUGUUUGUUCCAUAGUUCUUUCACUUUCCGAUCUAGUAUCCUUACGGGCCUUAAUUCGAGUGUUAAGUCUUCCUUGACUUCUACUGGAACUUGAGGUAGGAUUCGAGCGGGAUCCACGUCAGCCUUUCUUAACUAGGAGACAUGGAACACAUCAUGGACCUUGGCUAAUUAUGGGGGCAAGUCCACUUUGUAGGCUACUUGCCUGAUUUUCUGCAAGAUUUUGAAGGGCCUGAUAAAGCGGGAGUUAACUUCCCUUUCAAUCCGAAAUGUAACAUGUUCUUUCACGGGGCCACCUUCAGGAACACCUGGUCCCCCGCACUGAACAUGAGAGGUCUCCUCCUCACAUUAACAUACUUUUUUGUCUAUCCUGUUCGGCUUUGAUGCGAUCCCUAAUGGUUCUCACUUUCUUCAUGGUGACUUGAACUAACUCCGUGUCAUACAACUUUCAGUCCCCAACUUCUUCCCAACAUAAAAGAGUCCUGCACUUCCUACCAUACAAGGCUUUGUAAGAGGUCAUCCCUAUUAUGGCUUGGUUACUAUUGUUAUACAUAAACUCCAUUAAUGCUAUGUGUUCCUUUUAGUUUCCUUCAAAUUCUACACAUGCCCGUAAUAGGUUUUCCAAGACUUGGAUGACUCUUUCUGACUGGCCAUCAGUUUGGGGGUGAAACACAAUGCUCAUAUCCAAUCUUGUCCCCAAGGUGUGUUGUAUGCUCAAUCAAAGUCGAGAGGUGAACCCGGGAUCUCGAUCUGAGAAAAUGGAUACUGGAAUCCCAUGGAGUCGUACCGCCUCGUUUAUGUAAAUCAUGGCAAGCUUGUCUAUCGAAUCAGUCAUCUUUAUGAGCAAGAAUAGUGUGGAUUUCAUCAAGCGAUCUACGAUGACCCAAAUUGCAUCAUUUCCUUUUCUCUCUUUAGGAAAUCCAGACACAAAAUCCAUGGUGAUCAUCUCCCACUUUCGUUCUAGAAUUUGUAAUGGUUGCAAUGGUCUCGCGGGUCUUUUAUGUUCAACAUACUAGGCUAUUUUCCUUUUCAUAUUAGGCCACCAAUAGAGGUGUUUCGAGUCUCGAUACAUCUUAGUGCUGCCAAGAUGUAUGGAGAACUUAGACUCAUAUGCUUCUUGUAGAACCAUCUGUUUGACUGUCUUGUCAUUAGACAUGUACAAUUGUUGACCCAUCAUCAAAGAAGUUCGAGUAUACCACCAUAAAUUUAUCAAAGUAUGGUUAAAAAACCCGAUUGAUUAAGUCCAUGAAGAGGGCUGGGGCAUUCGUCAACAGGAACGGUAGCACCAAAAACUCAUAGUGUCCAUAAUGGGUCCUAAAUGCGGUCUUUGCUACAUCCACCUCUUUAAUCUUCAUUUGAUAGUACCCUAACCUCAUAUCUAUAUUUGAAAAUGCCCUCGCUCCCUUUAGUUGAUCAAAUAAAUCAUCUAUAUGUGGUAACAGGUACUUAUUUUUCAUCGCUAUUUUGUUCAACUUACGAUAAUCAAUACAAAGUCUAUGGGUUCCAUCUUUCAUUCUUACGAAUAGAACUGGCUCUCCCCAAGGAGAAUUACUGGCCUGUAUAAACCCCAUGUCUAGCAAUUCUUGCAGUUGAUUCUUUAACUUGUUCAAUUCUGUUGGAGCCAUCUGGUACGGUUGUUGGGCUAUGGGUGGGAUUCCAGGGAAAGUAUCUAUAGACAUUUCUAUCUCUCGCUCUGGGGGUAGUCCUGGUCGUUCUUCAGGAAACACAUCCAGGAAUUCCUUCACCAUAGAAAUAUCCUUCAGUCGCGGACCUCUGUCAUUAAAGUUUAAGAUGUAUACAAGGUAUCCCAUACAUCCCUUUCCCAGAAGUUUCUGAGCUGUUACAACCGAUAUUAAGGUGGUCGGUUUGGGAAUUCUCUCUCCUUCGAAAAUCAUCCCCUACCCUUAGGCAUUUGGAAUGUAACAGUUUUAGCAUAACAAUCUAUCAGGGCCUUGUAUUUACUAAGUCAAUCCAUGCCUAGAAUUAUAUCAAAAUCAUGCAAUUCCAAGGGAAUGAAGUCUACCUCGGAUUCAUACCCAACUAAACUAACCCCUACUCCCACAUACAUAUUAUUUGUUUCAAACAUAUUCCUCGACUAUCUCUGGAUCUUGUUCCUCUAUAUAUGGUUUGCAGCCCAUUUCCCUCAUACUUUUGAUCAGUCGCACGAGUAGCACCACGCUGUCCAUGGUCGCGACAUUCAUAGGGGUUGUCUGCGGAAUCUACAUGGCGGGAGUUGCUUGUGUCGUCGAAACGACCAUGUGCUUUAACUAUCUAAGAAGUCACGAGUCUACAUACUAUAGGGCACCCCUGUUGGGAGAGUUAAUGGUUGUGCAUAUGACCUUUCUUGUUGCCCUGCAGCAGCUGGGGGCACUACCUCUGUUCGGUUAGGCAUUUGACCUUCACCCGUUACCGUGGUUUUUCCCCGCAAAGUUUUAGGUGAUCUUACUAGAGCAUACGAUGUUGUAUCAUCCAAAUGAUCUUUGUCUUGCCAACCUUGGGCACCUCGACCCCCUCCCCUCCUUUAUAAAGAGGGCAGCUCAGUUCGUGUCUUUUGUCGGGUAGGCACCAUCCUGAAAUUCAUCACAACAACACAAUCAUCAAUGAUCCUCAGGAUCCAGACCAAGUGCUCUGAUACAAACUAUAACAACCCGGCUUUUCAAAGCCAAAACAAUAGUAAUUUUGUUUUUUGAUAACAUUCCAGAAAUUGAUAAGCCGGUUUCCACUCAUUAUUGUGGCUCAAUCUAUACGCCAAACAUCAAUCAACAUUUCAUUAACAACAAUUCUUACAUAUACAUAUAAUAUUACAUUUGCAUGAUUACAAGCUCACAUUAUAAUAUACGUACAUAAUCAUAACUUUGCCUUUCUGUACCACUAAUAGACAUCAUGAAAUUAAAUAAGAGUAUUGAAUAACAGAUACAUAAUUAGUACACUUAGUUCAUACAAAAUACAUCAUGAUUUAAAAUGUGACUGCAUGAUUCUUUGUAAAAGUGAGUUCCCAUGUAAUGAGGUUCCUAGGUAUCUCGUUGUUGAGAUGUCCCUGAUGUAGUACAAAUAUUUACAAGAAUUGUAAACAAUUACUAAUAACAAUUAAAUAGUUUCACAGAAGCAUUAAUGUUAUUCUCGGUUUAAGGCAUAACAAGCGUAAUUCUUCCAUAUACUUGAUAUAUACGAAACAUAAUACACAUGAACAUAUCAAUUCUUAAAACUAACUCGUAACUCGCAGAUCUGGCUAUCCUCUUAAGAUACCAUUAGCCAAAGCUAAUCAUUUAAUCACCCCGGUCAUCCUCUUAGGAUGCCGUUAGCUGAAGCUAAUCAUUUACUCAUCCCGGUCAUCCACUUAGGAUGCUGUUAGUCGAAGCUAAUCAUUUAAUCAUCCCGGUCACCCUCUUAGGAUGCCCUUAGCGGUCAUCCUUUUAGGAUGCCAUUAGCCGAAGCUAAUCAUAUAAUCAUCACGAUCAUCCACUUAGGACGCCAUUAACCGAAGUAAAUCAUGUAAUCAUCCUAGUCAUCCUCUUAGGAUGCUUUUAGCUGAAGCUAAUCAUUUAAUCAUCUCGGUCCCCCCCCUCUUCUAAAUAGGUUUGGGGAAAGUUUGACAGUAUUCCUUCUUUUCUUCUCUUGGUUUCCCCCUCUUCUUCUUCCUCUCUUGGUUUUUAGCCCCUUUUCUCCUUCCCUCUAGGCAGCUGUUCAAUCUUCUCUCAAGUUCUCAACUCUCUCUCCCUCUCUCACACACGUUCAAAGAGGCACUUACUGUUGGCUUGAUUUAAUAUCCGUUGGGAAGGAGGAAGAGAAAAGAAGCAUGCAGUUGAAUAUGCAGCUACUGUAGAUAGAUUUUGGAAAGAGGAAGGGUCACCUUCUCUCUCCUCCUUAUAUUUAUACCCCCUCUUAAAGAGCUUGGGUGUUUGGGUGCUGGUUUAAGUUGGUUUUUACCCCCCCCCUUUGGUUAUUCUAAGACCGGUCCCCCCCCUCUUUAACUCCUUAAGGCAGGCCAGUUUGCUCCCCUAACUAUCACUUAGCAUGAUCCGGCCUUUUACUUAGAUUUAUGUUAGGUAUUACAACCACAAAUGACGCAUAUAUUCGUCAGCGCUCAUAACCACUGUUGACUUAGGAAUCAUCACCAAAAACUGAGUCGCUGCUGAUUUAGAAAUCGACAGCGAAAACUGAUUUUUUUUCUAUUUUUUAUGAUUCUAAAUUUACAUGUAUAUAUAACAAAGACAAAAAAUUAUUAUAGUAUAAAAAUUAUCAACUCGAUGUUGGGCUGUUGUGUGUGCAAGAAAAUACAGAAGAUCGACCAAACAUAUCACAUGUGGUUUUGAUGUUGGGUAAUGAAGAUGAAUUGCCUCAGCCUAAACAACCAGGAUUUUUCACUGAAUGGGAUCUUGAUGAAGCAAGCUAUCCAUCGAGCCAGAGCAAACCAGAGCAAACCACCUUCGGCAAACGAAUGCUCGAUUUCAAUGUUAGAGGCAAGAUAGAUUGCUUUUAUUUUCAUUUCAAGUGAUUAAAGGCGAAUAUUCGAUAGAUGUUCUAGUUGCAGAACAGCAAUUACGAACAAAAGCAAGUCAAAUAAAUGCUUCUAAAGCUUAGUGUCUCAAUGGAACGUGAAGAAAUUGAAGACAAGUAUCUUCAUGUAAUCCAAGAGUUGCAGCUACAUUUAUGAAUCAUGGAGAGGGG